This 492-nucleotide ribosomal RNA is filed under the name uncultured bacterium. RNAcentral's name for it is "partial 16S ribosomal RNA". It matches the Rfam family "Bacterial small subunit ribosomal RNA", at positions 29 to 507 of the family's 1533-position model. The record is from RNAcentral.
AGUGAACGCUGGCGGUAGGCCUAACACAUGCAAGUCGAACGGCAGCACAGUAAGAGCUUGCUCUUACGGGUGGCGAGUGGCGGACGGGUGAGGAAUACAUCGGAAUCUACUUUUUCGUGGGGGAUAACGUAGGGAAACUUACGCUAAUACCGCAUACGACCUACGGGUGAAAGCAGGGGAUCUUCGGACCUUGCGCAAUUGAAUGAGCCGAUGUCGGAUUAGCUAGUUGGCGGGGUAAGGGCCCACCAAGGCGACGAUCCGUAGCUGGUCUGAGAGGAUGAUCAGCCACACUGGAACUGAGACACGGUCCAGACUCCUACGGGAGGCAGCAGUGGGGAAUAUUGGACAAUGGGCGCAAGCCUGAUCCAGCCAUACCGCGUGGGUGAAGAAGGCCUUCGGGUUGUAAAGCCCUUUUGUUGGGAAAGAAAAGCAGCAGGUUAAUACCCCGCUGUUCUGACGGUACCCAAAGAAUAAGCACCGGCUAACUUCGUG